GACGAACGCUGGCGGCGUGCUUAACACAUGCAAGUCGAACGGAAAGGCCCUGCUUUUGUGGGGUGCUCGAGUGGCGAACGGGUGAGUAACACGUGAGUAACCUGCCCUUGACUUUGGGAUAACUUCAGGAAACUGGGGCUACUACCGGAUAGGAGCUCCUGCUGCAUGGUGGGGGUUGGAAAGUUUCGGCGGUUGGGGAUGGACUCGCGGCUUAUCAGCUUGUUGGUGGGGUAGUGGCUUACCAAGGCUUUGACGGGUAGCCGGCCUGAGAGCGCGACCGGGCACAUUGGGACUGAGAUACGGCCCAGACUCCUACGGGAGGCAGCAGUGGGGAAUAUUGCACAAUGGGCGGAAGCCUGAUGCAGCAACGCCGCGUGCGGGAUGACGGCCUUCGGGUUGUAAACCGCUUUCGCCUGUGACGAAGCGGGAGUGACGGUAAUGGGUAAAGAAGCACCGGCUAACUACGUG
This 468-nucleotide ribosomal RNA is filed under the name uncultured bacterium. RNAcentral describes it as "partial 16S ribosomal RNA". It matches the Rfam family "Bacterial small subunit ribosomal RNA", at positions 28 to 507 of the family's 1533-position model. The record is from RNAcentral.